GUGACAGCCGCCGCGGUAAUACGUAGGUGGCAAGCGUUGUCCGGAAUUAUUGGGCGUAAAGCGCGCGCAGGCGGUCCUUUAAGUCUGAUGUGAAAGCCCACGGNUCAACCGUGGAGGGUCAUUGGAAACUGGGGGACUUGAGUACAGAAGAGAAGAGUGGAAUUCCACGUGUAGCGGUGAAAUGCGUAGAGAUGUGGAGGAACACCAGUGGCGAAGGNGACUCUUUGGUCUGUAACUGACGCUGAGGCGCGAAAGCGUGGGGAGCAAACA
Molecule: ribosomal RNA, 270 nt
Filed under: unidentified soil organism R6-102
Description: partial 16S ribosomal RNA
Rfam family: Bacterial small subunit ribosomal RNA
Source: RNAcentral